AGCGAACGCUGGCGGCAGGCCUAACACAUGCAAGUCGAACGAACUCUUCGGAGUUAGUGGCGGACGGGUGAGUAACACGUGGGAACGUGCCUUUAGGUUCGGAAUAACUCAGGGAAACUUGUGCUAAUACCGAAUGUGCCCUUCGGGGGAAAGAUUUAUCGCCUUUAGAGCGGCCCGCGUCUGAUUAGCUAGUUGGUGAGGUAAAGGCUCACCAAGGCGACGAUCAGUAGCUGGUCUGAGAGGAUGAUCAGCCACUUUGGGACUGAGACACGGCCCAAACUCCUACGGGAGGCAGCAGUGGGGAAUCUUGCGCAAUGGGCGAAAGCCUGACGCAGCCAUGCCGCGUGAAUGAUGAAGGUCUUAGGAUUGUAAAAUUCUUUCACCGGGGACGAUAAUGACGGUACCCGGAGAAGAAGCCCCGGCUAACUUCGUG
Molecule: ribosomal RNA, 433 nt
Filed under: uncultured bacterium
Lineage: Bacteria
Description: partial 16S ribosomal RNA
Rfam family: Bacterial small subunit ribosomal RNA
Source: RNAcentral